AGCUUUGCGCCGUGGCAGUAUCGUAGCCAAUGGGAUUUAUCUGAGGUGCGAUUAUUGCUAAUUGAAAACUGAACGCUGGGCAGGGACAGUUACUGAAAAUCCAUCAACAAGACCCUGACCAAGACUCUUUUACUGAUUAUCAUCU
Small nuclear RNA from Vulpes vulpes (red fox), 145 nucleotides. Its record names the gene U4. It matches the Rfam family "U4 spliceosomal RNA". Rfam says of the family: U4 small nuclear RNA (U4 snRNA) is a component of the major U2-dependent spliceosome. The structure of U4 snRNA from yeast and human has been reported. U4 snRNA presents a k-turn RNA motif in the 5p-SL related to recognition of Snu13 protein. Lineage: Eukaryota; Metazoa; Chordata; Mammalia; Carnivora; Canidae. The record is from Ensembl.